Entelurus aequoreus (snake pipefish) is the source of this 1008-nucleotide long non-coding RNA. RefSeq lists it as uncharacterized. The transcript is spliced from 3 exons. The record is from RefSeq and is a predicted model, not a curated record. Lineage: Eukaryota; Metazoa; Chordata; Actinopteri; Syngnathiformes; Syngnathidae.
CCACGCUGGCUUUCUGGAAGGUAAGCUGAGGAAUAGCCGCCAAACGAAGGGAUGAUCGGUGCCGUUAUUGCAGAAGGGGUGGCUCAUCUGAAGUCACUGUUGGACUUGAAGAAGUUCCAGAAAGUGAUGAGUCUGUCCAAGAAUGGAUAACUGUGAUCAUAAGGAUGAAGCCUAGUCCGGAGAACCUUUCUUCCAUCAAGAUGGGUAAGGACAAAACCUACUUCCACCCAAGAUACUGGAUAUCUAAUCAGUCACCUACUCUGGCAGAGAUUGUUGAGAACUACCCUUGUUUCAUUGAUGUACCAUAUCUGGUAAGUCAGUCAAUGUAAUCACCACCUGCACUCUCAAAUGGAUUUGCAUAUAACCUUAUCUAAUCACCCUUGUCUUGUCCUGUUGGUAAACCUUAACAGAUCGACAGUUUGAGAAGAUGUUUCCAUACAAGACAGACAUCUUUCUACACAAAUGGGACCAAAGUUGUUGAAGCUGGCUGCUCUUGAAGGAAAAGAUGAACCACCAGAAGCUGAGAGUGCUGAAUGAAGGUGCUGUAGAGCACUGAAGAUGCUCACACAUGAUCUGCCCCCUACUGGGUCAAGAAGAUCUAUGGGAUGGACAAAAUGCAGCAUCAAGUCAGUGCUGUCCUACAUUAAACAACCAGGAAGAAGCUUCCAUGACCUCCUACAAACCACUGACCCUGCUCCAGUGAUGCAACCUGGUCUGGUGAGCAUUGGACAUUGCAACACAACAUCAACACAAUAUGUCCUCGUGGCUGCCCAUGUCAUUCCACUCCAGGAAGAGGGUCUCACCUGCAGUCUGGACUAACUCUUCAAAUUGUAUUGGGCUUGUAACCUUGCCUGCUUGGUAAAGUAGGAGUUGUUGAUUGAAAAAAUGGCAGCCUGUGGACAUAAGUUGAACAACUUAUUGGGGUGUUACCAUUUAGUGGUCAAUUGUAUGUAAUAUGUACUUCACUGUGCAAUCUACUAAUAAAGUUUCAAUCAAUGAUUGAAACAU